Molecule: ribosomal RNA, 501 nt
Filed under: uncultured bacterium
Lineage: Bacteria
Description: partial 16S ribosomal RNA
Rfam family: Bacterial small subunit ribosomal RNA
Source: RNAcentral
AUUGAACGCUGGCGGCAUGCCUUACACAUGCAAGUCGAACGGCAGCACGGGUGCUUGCACCUGGUGGCGAGUGGCGAACGGGUGAGUAAUACAUCGGAACGUACCUUAUCGUGGGGGAUAACGCAGCGAAAGCUGUGCUAAUACCGCAUAGGCCCUGAGGGGGAAAGCGGGGGAUCGAAAGACCUCGCGCGAUUAGAGCGGCCGAUGCCUGAUUAGCUUGUUGGUGGGGUAAAAGCCCACCAAGGCGACGAUCAGUAGCUGGUCUGAGAGGACGAUAAGCCACACUGGGACUGAGACACGGCCCAGACUCCUACGGGAGGCAGCAGGGGGGAAUUUUGGACAAUGGGGGCAACCCUGAUCCAGCAAUGCCGCGUGAGUGAAGAAGGCCUUCGGGUUGUAAAGCUCUUUUGUCAGGGAAGAAACACCGGCUCUAACACAGUCCGGGAAUGACGGUACCUGAAGAAUAAGCACCGGCUAACUACGUGCCAGCCGCCGCCGUAA